This 434-nucleotide ribosomal RNA is filed under the name uncultured bacterium. Its description in RNAcentral is "partial 16S ribosomal RNA". It matches the Rfam family "Bacterial small subunit ribosomal RNA", at positions 29 to 507 of the family's 1533-position model. The record is from RNAcentral.
AUGAACGCUGGCGGUAUGCUUAACACAUGCAAGUCGAACGGACUCUUCGGAGUUAGUGGCAGACGGGUGAGUAACGCGUGAGAAUCUGGCUUUGGGUUCGGGACAACCACUGGAAACGGUGGCUAAUACCGGAUGUGCCGAGAGGUAAAAGAGAAAUUGCCUGAAGAUGAGCUCGCGUCUGAUUAGCUAGUUGGUGAGGUAAAGGCUCACCAAGGCAGCGAUCAGUAGCUGGUCUGAGAGGAUGACCAGCCACACUGGGACUGAGACACGGCCCAGACUCCUACGGGAGGCAGCAGUGGGGAAUUUUCCGCAAUGGGCGAAAGCCUGACGGAGCAAUACCGCGUGAGGGAAGAAGGCUCUUGGGUUGUAAACCUCUUUUCUUAGGGAAGAACAAAAUGACGGUACCUAAGGAAUCAGCAUCGGCUAACUCCGUG